AUAGUUUCACUGCUUCCAUCCAUGUUGUUUUUCAUCUACUUUGGACUGGGAGUAGUAAUAGUUUUGCCUUUCAGGAAUGGCGUCCCCCCAACAAGUGUAUGUCAGGGUUAAUAACUUGGUGGUUAUAACCAGUUAUAACACAGGUGGUCAAGGCUGCCAUUCUACCCAGUGCCUGAGAAGCAGGGUUUAAACCUUAUGGUUUCAAAUCUGGUGAAACGACACUUGCCUUUUAUAUAUGACUAGAACAAACCAAUAUAUAUAUAUAUAUAUAUAUAUAUGACUAGAACAAACCAAUAUAUAUAUAUAUAUAUAUAUAUAUGACUAGAACAAACCAAUAUAUAUAUAUAUAUGACUAGAACAAACCAAUAUAUAGUCCGUUGCUUCUUCCUACUACUACAUGUAGGAUGUUUAAUUACACUAAAGGCUGUGGUUAAUAUAAACAUGUGCUUAUUUCUGUAAACCAUGAUUAUAGAAUUUAGUCUCCAGUAUUUUAAAUAAUUUAAACUGUUAUAUUUUUUAUUAUGAAAAUCAUUAUUAUUAUAAUUUUUUUUUUUGGUGUGUGUGUGUGUGUGUGUCUUUGUAAUGAUUGUGACUGAAACUGUAGUUUUAAUGAGAGCGUGGUGUUUUGAUGAGACGAGCAGGAUAUUGCUUGGUACCUCUGUUACUGAAGGAUGGAUUGUUAUUUUGGUCAUGAUAGGAGGGAGGGUGACAUUGUCUCACGUCAGAUGGCGUCAUUCCUCCGCGGCGCUCGUACCUCAAACCGGGUCGAUUCAACAAAUUAAAACAUAGUCCCUUAUUUUAAAAAAAAUUUUUUUUAAACAUCACAGCGCUCUCAUAUGAUUCUCCAUGAAAUAGGCAGAAUAACUUAGCUAGCUAAAUUAUUUCAAACGUUGUGACAGUGAUUUAAUAGUUUGCAAUUGUGAGGAAAAUAAAAACAAACCAGGGGGUUACCUUCUGCACAAAUUCCAGGACGUUGCUCGCCAGGCAGUGACUUGAUCAGCCAUGUUGCUAUCCGUUGUAGCUAGCUAGCUAGCUAGUCAGCUAGCUCUUCCGUCACUGACAUUAAAAAGCUUGCUUAGCCUGUUUAAAUGACCCUGAAGUUGUAGACAUGCAGCCCCACGAUGAAUAGGAAGUGGCUGUUAAUAACAGAAAUCAGUCCACAGAUCAGCAUGUUUCCACCCGGAUCGUAUUGUUGGGUCAGCUGAGAGGCUACUGCUUCACGAAAACUCAGAAUAAUGGAAGCAUUAGCACUACUAGCUACAGUAGCUUGCUAACUAGCUUUUGUUGGAAGAUUCAACAUUGUUUGUGCAGCACUAAGAAGGUAGCUGGUUGGUUAGCAGUGUCGUUUCAGUCAAGAUGAUUUCAGGGAUUGGCUCAGCUGUUGGACAAACGUAGGCUUUCGUGCCCAUAGUUCAAAACUUCAGAAAUACUGCUCAUUUGAAGCACAAGAAUCAUUAGCUAGAUGUAAAAUGGGGCGACUUAAAGACUUCCUCACCAAAAAAAACAACAUCAACAUUAUUGUAUUUGUGGUUUUAACAUAGAUGAAUUCAGACAGUUCUGAGGCAGGAAUGAGGUUCAGCAGAUGAUGUCUCCUGGGUAAUAUGUUCUAACGUCGUGACAGCACCGUUGUAGCCGGACUUCUUUUGAUCUAUCCCGUGAUCCUUUGAUCUAUCCCAUGAUCCUUUGCGAGAUACAAGACGGAUCAGUGCAGGUCGGAAAGCACGCUCUAUCUGAUGGAAGACAAUGGGAGGGUGGGCUCUCUCUGUGUGUGUGCGUCUUGAAUUGGCACCCUAUUCCCUAUAUAGUGCACUACUUUUGUUCAGGGGCCCUAUGGCACCCUAUUCCUUAUAUAGUGCACUACUUUAGACUGGAACCUAUAGGGAAUAGGGUGCCAUUAGGGAUGCCCCCUCUGUCUGGUUUUUUCUGGCCAGCUGCCGGCAGCACACCAGACCUACUGGCAUGUUCCCGUUGAUCGAUACUGUACUUAUGACAUAUUUCUGUUUAUUUGGAGAGAGAGAGAGAGAGAGAGAGAAAGAGAAACAAUCUGGAAAUGAUUAUUAUUUUAUUUUUUUUGUAACUGGAUUUACAAGAUGCUUAAAUAAAUGAUUGUAUUUAUAACCUG
This 2122-nucleotide long non-coding RNA is filed under the name Salmo salar (Atlantic salmon). RNAcentral's name for it is "lncRNA (ENSSSAG00000116489.1)". The record is from RNAcentral. Lineage: Eukaryota; Metazoa; Chordata; Actinopteri; Salmoniformes; Salmonidae.